Long non-coding RNA from Spinacia oleracea (spinach), 1591 nucleotides. RefSeq lists it as uncharacterized. The transcript is spliced from 4 exons. Lineage: Eukaryota; Viridiplantae; Streptophyta; Magnoliopsida; Caryophyllales; Amaranthaceae. The record is from RefSeq and is a predicted model, not a curated record.
GAAAUGAUAUUUUGAAACCAGUUGUCACAAAAUUGAAGGCAGAAACCACCUCCUCCCAUUUCCGCUCUGAAAUAACCUAAGACAACAGAAGAAAUAUCAUACAUUUCAGCAUGACUAAUGAAGUUACUUAUAUCAAUGAAAGCAAUUGCGUCCACAAUUACGGGAAAUCUCUGUUUGCAUGUCUUGGGCAAUUCUUAAUUUUGGGGUAGAGAAUGGGUAGUGUCGAAGACUCAAGAAAUUGUCGGUAAUUGGAUUGCUACAAGGAAGUUGGGAAGAUUCAUAUUUGCUAAAAAUUUGCGACAAGAAGAUUCAAGUUGAUCAUAACACAACAUCAAUUACGAGUUGAGUUAUGAAAUCCAGUGAUGUUUGGUAUCAGCCAUCAAUUGGAGGUUGAGCUAGCCAAUGUUGCUAUAAAGAAAUGAUAUUAUCAAGUAAUAACAACUCUCUCAUGAAUUCACUGUCAAGUGUGAUAUGAGACAAGGAAGCUUAUCAAGCUCAAUUUUUGAAUAGGGUGUGUAAUUAUCUGGAGGAUAUUUUUAAGGAACAUGUAAAUGUUUUAGAUCAAGGGUACAUAUUUUGAUUUAAAUGCUACUCAUAUACUGUACUAUAGAGGGUAGAUCAAGGGGAACAAUUAUUGUAAGGCUUUUGAUUUCUACCCAGUAAUCGAACAAGUUGGACUCACUUUUCCAAAAACCUUAAUGACUUUUUAAAUUUUCAAAUGUUAUAUUUAUUGUACUUUUUUUACAUCAAAAUAUUACUCUCUGGCUCUCUGCUCCGUACCAACUAAUUACCUAUUAAUAUUAUUACAAUUGUUUUUUUGUUAUAGUCGUGCAUCGCACGGGUGCUAACCUAGUACAUAAAACAUGCUAAAUCACAACUUCUAAAGAAGAUCUCAAAGUGAAUAUGUCCAUAAAGAAGAUAUCCCUCCCCCUCACUCCCAAUCCCCAUUGCAAACUCCCUCAGUAGAAAACAGAAGAAGCGUAAACAGGGCAUCUAUUUAACCAGCCAAGCUCAUGCAAGGCACACCAACGAACAAAAAAUAUUGGUACACUAGGACUGUUGCAUCAAGAACAUAUAAUGGUAAGUUUGAAUCAAACUAGAAACCAGUAGAGAGGUUGUAUCUGGUAAACAGACAAAGAAAUCUGGCUGAGAAGGAAGAGAUUCAGGUAUCAGUAAUGAAAGAAUUAUUAUCACUCUCGAACCUCAACUCUCAACAAAAGAAAUCUAAAAUCAUCAAAGAAAGAUUAAGAUGUGCGUCAAACGAACGCUUUCAACUAGUGUUACCUAAUUCUCUAAUCAUCCUACGAACCGCGAACCGAAAAGGCGAAUUAUAACAUGAAAAUGGUAAAAUUUUGGUCCAACUUAGCAACGCAGGUAGCGAACUGCGAUCCCGUACCCAGUCUCAUACUAGCGAAUCAGGUAACAAUGCUUUCAACCCCAGAACAAGUCAACAACUAACUAAAAUGGUUCUUUCUCUAUGUACUCUCAAACUAAUGGCAUGUCAGUACUGAUGAUGCUAUAACAAUAUACUUUAGGCUGCAGAUAAAGCAUAGACUCGUGAAGGGAGAAUCCAUCCCUCACAGACAGAUUA